This 85-nucleotide non-coding RNA is filed under the name Candidatus Kentrum sp. LPFa. Lineage: Bacteria; Pseudomonadati; Pseudomonadota; Gammaproteobacteria. RNAcentral also lists the same sequence under 1 other name. The record is from RNAcentral.
GCCAAUGGUGGGCAACAUGGGCAACCUUCGGGUUGGCCGCGUGUCUCUGUGCGGUAUUGCUACCCCAUGUUUGCCCGCCUCCUUA